RNAcentral lists this ribosomal RNA (429 nucleotides) under Triticum aestivum (bread wheat). Its description in RNAcentral is "partial small subunit ribosomal RNA". Lineage: Eukaryota; Viridiplantae; Streptophyta; Magnoliopsida; Poales; Poaceae. The record is from RNAcentral.
AUGACGAAUGGGCUCGUCUCGUGCUCUGGUUGGCUGGGUCAGUCGUGGCCGCGUGCAGACGGUUUUGACCAAUCCGCUCCACGCUUCCGCAGCCAAUCCGCCUCGUCCCACUCCCGCACCAGCCGUCACACAAACCCUAGCCAUGUUUUCCCUCGAUCCCCACAGCCUCCCGCUCCCCUCCUCCACCCCCCUCCUCGCCUCACCACGGCCUCCGCCCUGGAGCCCCGUCGCCGCCUCUCCUCCACCCCCUCCUCGCGUCGCCACGGCCUCCGCCUGCUAUUCCUCCUCCACCACACUAGCCCCUCUACGUCGUCUUCCUUCUCUUCGUUGUCAAUGCGGCCGCAUCGACCGCUGGUUCCAGAUCGAGCGAGGGUUAGGCGAGCCCGGUGGUGGGGUGAAGGGGCAGGGGAAGAGGAGGUGGGCGAGUAG